Molecule: long non-coding RNA, 5052 nt
Organism: Manis pentadactyla (Chinese pangolin)
Lineage: Eukaryota; Metazoa; Chordata; Mammalia; Pholidota; Manidae
Exons: 2
Source: RefSeq, a predicted model, not a curated record
CCGCGGCCCGACGCGCCGGCCGUCGCCAUGACGACUGGGGCGCGUGCGAUUGGUGAGGGCUGGGACCCGCCGGCCAAUGAGAGGCGGCAUGUGCUGGGGGCGGGGCGCGCGGGACGCUGGGGGCGGGGCGACUCCAAGCAGCAGGCGUCGGGGUGCCAAAUGCUCCCCGGAGAGAAACUUAACUUUUACCUUUCCUUUUCUUUUCAGGUUCUAAACGGAAAAUGCUCUGAAAGGAGAGCGUCCCUUUCUUGCUGAGGCAGCAGAGAGGAGCAUUUACAUGGAAGCGGGGCUUGCCUGCAGCCUGUUUUCAUCACCUGCAGCGAUUUCACCGCGAUCGUGGACGAAUGCAUCCCCAGUGUAGGCGCUCGGAGACCCAGUAACACAGAAGAAAGGCGGAAGGGAGCCCCGCUCAGAACCUCACGGCCUCAAGGGGAAGAGACAGGUCACGGGGCACAGUCCGGUUUGUAUGUUUCUGGCAGCCAGGACUUCCACGGACUUCGCAGCUUCGUCCUCCCUCCCCAGUCUCUAAGUCUGUGAUUUAAAAGAACUCCUGAUAAAGCUGGAAUGUGCUGGAGGCAACAUUUUUAAGACGAAAUAUUUUAUGAGGAGAGGUAAGCAGUUACUAUAGGACUACCUGGAGCUGAAGCGGCUCCGAUGUGGUCAGGAAUUCACCUUCUUUUAGUGCCUGCUGAGACAGGGCAGAAAUGAAAGGCACAGGGACCUUGCCUCCCCUCAGCACACCCGGUCCGAAAGGGAAGAUAACUCGUGACAGCAAAAGAAAGGAAUUAAGUGCAGUUAAGGCUGUGCCUGCUGUUCCGGAAAGAUUCAGUUCUGCCUUGGGGGGUUGAGAGGAUGCGAUGAGACCCUUGAGAGGUGACAGAGGAAAGGGCGGCUUUGGAUCUGGGCCUGGCAGGCUGCCGUGGGGGGUACAAAUAGGAACAUUCUCACCCAUUGGCAAAUCCACUGGCCUUGUCAAUGCAUCACCACAUUCCAGGAUAAAUGGGACAAAGGUAAGUCAUAUUAUACCACUAAAUGCAGCUGCUCCGUCACAAAACAGAGACUGAAAGAAGCUAGCAACAUACCCCAAGUUCAAGCUAAACGUUUCUCAAAGCAAACGUUUCUCAAAGCAAAGAUUUGCCCAGAUUUUCUGACUCCAAAGUCCAGCUUUUCCCUUAAAGUGUUUCUGUGUUCCCUGUAAAAUCAGGAAUAUGAUAAGGCAGUUUUGGUCUCCACAUGAUCUAAUAUGGUUCUGGUGAUUUGGUUAUUUGAUAAGUCCUGACACCAAUACUGCUUUGCUCUCACCUACUUCCUUUGUGUUGUUAUUAUCAGUAUAUUACAUUUCAGCAUGUUCUAGGCCCAACAAUACAAUGGCAUAUGUAUUGUUUUAUGAAAUUGCUUUUUAGAUAAGUCAGGAGAAAAAAAUAUGCAACUAUGUAAUUUUAUAAUUUCAUGCAUCAUUAUCUUUCCUGGUGCUCUUUUUUUCAUGUGGAUAUAAAUUACUGCCUGGUGUUACCUGCUUUUAACUUGAAGAACUUUAUUUGGUAUUUCUUGUAAGGCAGGUCUGUGAGCAACAUGUUCUCUCAGCUUUUGCUCACCGUUUAUUUCACUGCCACUUUUGUAAGGUGGUUGACUGGAUAUCAGGUUCUUGGUUACAGGUUUUUUUCUUUAAACACUUUAACCACGCCAUUCUCCUGCCUUCUCACCUCCCCUAUUUCUAAUGACAAAGAGCUGUCAAUCUUUUUGUGGUUCCCUGGGAUGUCUAGUGUCCUGUCAGGGCUCUUCCUGCUGUCAAGAUGUUCUCAUUGUCUUUGUCUGUCAUCAUUUUAAUAUGCUCGGGUGACAGUUCAUUGCAUUUAUCAUACUUGGAAUUUGCCAAGCUUCUUGAAUGUGUAGAUUAAUGGGGUUUUUUAAUCAGACUUUGCCAUUAUUUCUUUGACUAUUAUUUUCUGCUCCUUUCUAUAUCUCCUUUUCUUCUGGGACCCUCCUUAUGUGUAUGUGGGUGUAAUCAAUUAUGUCCUAUAUUUCUCUAAGGUUGUAUUCAUUUUUCUGUUUUUCAGAUUGCAUAGUUUCUAUUGAUUUAUCUUCAAGUUUGCUUAUUUCUUCUUUUGACCUAUUGCUUCACAUGUCUAGUGAAUUUUCCAUUUUAGUCAUGAUCCUUUUCGGCUCCAGAAUUUGUACUUAUUUUUUUUUAAUCAUUUCUUGAUAGAUAUUCUAUAUUUGAUAAGACAUUGUUAUUAUACCUUCCUUAAAUUCCUCCAUCAUGGUUUUCUUUAGUUCUUUGAACUCACUGAUAACUGCUCCAAAGUCUUUGUCCACCAAGUCCAACAGUUGGGCCCUCUCAAAUCCUGUUUUUCUCCCUGUGUAUGAGUCACAUAUUCCUGUUUCUUUGCAGGUCUCAUAAUGUUUUGUUGAACACUGAACUUUUCAGAUAACUCUGUAGCAACUCCGUAUAUUUAUUUCCCAGUGCCUGUUGCCAUUAUUGUUGUUUGCUUGUUUGGCUUAAGUGUCUGCUUAGUCUUAGCCAGACUAGUUCAGCGAGAUCUGGUCCCCAACAGUGUGCAUCCUCCUGAUGUCACUCUUUAGGGUAUAGCCUUGAACAUGCACAGAGGCCCCUGACCAGGCAAAUGACUCUUUAUAUGAGAAAGAGAGUAACAUAGAGAAUGAUCUCAUAACUUACAACAGGUGGAUUUAAAAGCCAAGUGAUAAUAAUAAAAUGGUAAACAUAUAUGCAAAAUAUUUUUUCAAAACUUUGCUAAUUUUUACUUUUAUUUUUGAAAAAUGAUAAAAUGUUUAUUUUAUACAUAAAAACCCUCAAAGCUAAGAUUAAAGCAGAAAUACACACACACAUUGCCAGCCACCAUGUAAUUUAUGCAGUCCUUAGUUAGCAAUAAAUAUCACCUUGAAAUCAGGCCACCACUCCUUCCUCUUCAUAGUCAUUGAUUUUGAUGUAAAGCAGGUGUAUCCUGGAAAAUGUAUCUGCUACUUAUUUUUUUCAUGAUUUGGUGAGACUCUUGGAAAAAUUAAAUCAGGGCCUUUUGUUACUCACUUGUGAAGCAUGUGGCAGGAAAAGAAACACCAACAAAAUCCUUGGACACAAUCAUUUUUAGAAAAGAGAAGUAGGGCAAAGUUCAGAUAUUAGGAAAGAGACAUGAGAGUUUAAGGAGGCGAGUGACAUCCAAGGCUCUGAAAAUAACUCUCAGGGUCCUCAUUGGAUGACAAGUACUUUAAGUCACCGUAGUCCAGCGAGGAACAAACAGGGAUUGAAGCUCCUUUCGCUCAGCUCAUGUGAGCACUUUGUCUCUGAGUCUCCAUGUCUUCAUCGAUAAAGAGAACUUCCAGGCUUGGGGAACCAGAACCCUUCCGGGAGCCACUGAGCCGGGCCCCAGGCUCCAGGCACAGGAGAUGCCAUGACCGGGACUCCCCUUAUGCAUCCCUGCAUCUGGCUGUCCAUCGGGGUCCCUUGUCACGUCCUUUAAUAGACUGGUAAACGUAAGAAAGUGUUUCCUGAGUCUGUGAGCAGCUCUAGCAAAUUAAUGCACCCUACGGGGGAGGUCGUGGGAACCUCCAGACUGCCGCUGCCGGUCAGGAGCACAGGCAACAGCCCGGGGCUGGCUGGGAUCUGGAGUGGAGUGGGGGCGGGGUGUAGGACGGAGCCCUCGGCCUGGGCAGAUAGUGUCAGAAUCGAGUUGAACUCUCAGAUACCCCACUGGGGUCUGAGAAUUGCUUGGUGUUACGCAUGGGGGAAGCCCCUGUCACACACACACACACACACAUGCACACACUUUGGAAUUGGUCUCAGAACCUAUUUAGUUCAAUUUCCCCCUUUCUCUUGCAAUCUAAAAGCUAGUAACUAUAAGAGCGUUCUGAAAGUGGUGCAAUCAUUCAAACACAGUACAAUAGGACAAAGUUAAGAAACGGAACGGUUCCAGGAAAUUCUCAAAGAUACGGGGUAAAUGUGCACAGAGAAUAUCAACACAAAAACACAUUUCCCCAAACCGUCAGCUUUUCCAGUUCCUUUAAUCUGAUGGGAAAAGAUAGGGCGUCCCUUCACUUUACAGACAAGGAAACGGAAGCCCAGAAUGGUUACAGGAAGUACCCACAUUAGCCUCAGGACCAGAACUAAAACCCACCAGGAGAAAGCAGGAAGAGAACUCAGGCCUCCUUCUACACAUCACUCCAUUUGGGCCUGGCUACUACGAAAGGCUGGAAAGUGUCUGCAUUCUAUGGCUAGCUCUGUGAUGAAAGACCCAGGCUUGCUGGAGUCAGGCGUUCUGUUCAAAUGCCAGAACUAACCACUCACAGGUUGUGACCCUCAGGCAAGGUCACAGCUACUCUAUGACUCAGUUUGUCCAUCUGUAAAAUAAGGAGCUAGGGACGCCCACCUCAUACAGUUAUUGCGACAUGUGAAAUGGUGCAUGUAACACCCUUGACACAACACCUAGGACACGGGAACCACUAGGGGCAUGAUACUGCUUAUUGUUCCGAAAACACUGACCUCAAGAGUGGCUUAACCAGGUAGUUUUGUGUUUGCAAGAAUUACAAGUUUAAAGUUCAAGGGAUAUUUCACUUUGCAAAUAGGAAAACAAAGACUCAGCCAUGGGAAGAGAAAUAGCAACAGUCAGGCAACUAGUGCUGUCAGAGCAGGAGCCAAAACUCAGGACCCCCAAUUCUCCUGUUAGACUAGAAGGUUCCAAGUAAGAACCUGGAAAAUGAAGCGUGUCUUCAAUACAUAAUUUACAAAUAGUCAUGGCAGUAAAUGCCUACUAUCAAGGCUCCAUGUGACACAAAGAAAAAUCCAUUUGGGGAGUUAAUUAUCUGUGAAGGUAUCACUCUGCCUCACGGUGAAAUAGUGACCCUGUGGAGUGACCUAAACGACCGAGAAGCACAAAGCCAGUACCAGGCUGUUAACAAUGAAAGCCAUCCGUUUUGCAAAAAUGUGUAUUCAUAGGAAAAAACAACAUAGUUCAUAAAUAAAUGUGUAUAGUGUGUACAUUGAUUUGUAUACUGAAAUGCAUAUGUGACAGAACACAAUAUAUAAUAUAUAUAAUCAUA